GCUUGUCUCAAAGAUUAAGCCAUGCAUGUCUAAGUAUAACUCUUUUACUUUGAAAACUGCGAACGGCUCAUUAUAUCAGUUAUAGUUUCUUUGAUAGUCCCUUACUACUUGGAUACCCGUAGUAAUUCUAGAGCUAAUACAUGCAUCAAUACCCAACUGUUCGCGGAAGGGUAGUAUUUAUUAGGUAUAGACCAACCCUCCUCGGAGGUGCUUUGGUGAUUCAUAAUAACUUAGCGAAUCGUGACUCGUUCACGAUAAAUCAUUCAAGUUUCUGCCCUAUCAUGCUUUCGAUGGUAGUGUAUUGGACUACCAUGGCUCUCACGGGUAACGGAGAAUUAGGGUUCGAUUCCGGAGAAGGAGCCUGAGAAACGGCUACUACAUCUAAGGAAGGCAGCAGG
This 398-nucleotide ribosomal RNA is filed under the name Stephanodiscus hantzschii. RNAcentral's name for it is "partial small subunit ribosomal RNA". It matches the Rfam family "Eukaryotic small subunit ribosomal RNA", at positions 30 to 432 of the family's 1831-position model. Lineage: Eukaryota; Bacillariophyta; Thalassiosirophyceae; Thalassiosirales; Thalassiosiraceae. The record is from RNAcentral.